UCUAGUGCUUAAACACCUUGAUCUCAGCUAACAGAAUCUGCCUCCUGCCACAAUGCCAAGCUUUGGAGAAGAAAGUACAUGGUAGCCACUCUUGCAAAUUAAAAUGAGACCACCUUCCUGUAUAAUGAAAAUCUGAUGAGGUGAUAGUGGUGGGUGGUCCUCCUUUAUACAGUAUCAUAGAGAUGUGAGCAUAGUUUCAGGAUGGAGAAAGACUGCAAUUUCAUUUCCUCUUAUGCCUGGGGAUAGAGGAGGAUUUAAAUUCCCAUCCAUCACUUCCACAUUUUUGUGAGGUGAGGACUUUCAUGAGUGCUCCUGCUUCAAGUGAUCUGGAGCACAGCAAAGAGAUAACUAAUGAGGCAACCUCAGUACAGAAAUCCCACUGCUCAGAGCAGCCAGCUCUGAGAGCAAAAAAAUCAUCACAGUUCAUGUCCACCUCAAUGCAUUUUACAUCAGCCUAUUUCUGGCCCAGGUGUGAAGUUCUGAAAUAAAAGGACAGUGCAAAUGACAUUUUUAAGAAGUUCCUGCUCAGCAUCUGAGGUCAUGUACAUUCUGGGAGCAGCCACUGUGGUGUGAGGCUCCUCCAUACCGUAUCCCUCCAUCCCUGGGCACAGGCUGUGAAAGAAGACGUCAGCUGUGUUGCUUCAUGUAAUUGGAGAACCUUCUGGAUGAGAAGGCGGCCCAAAACUUCAAGAUUCUGCAAACAAGGUAAAAAUUAAUAAAUCAAGCUUCAGAUUUAGAGGUCUCCAAUGCUAGAUGGCAGCUGAGCAGGGAUUUCAGGAUAUUGAUUCAGACACCUGACUGACAUUUUUGGUUCUUCAUGUUAUUUUUCAGAUCUAAUAUCAGACACCUGAAAAUUCAGGCAUUUGCAGUCACAUAGAGCACAGCUGGGUGCCUCACGCAUCUUGUUCAAAACCACCUAAGUCUACACUAGAGCUAGAAAUUAAAUGUUAUGGUGAAAUCCCACCUGUGGCCCUAAGCCUCAGAAGCUGCUGUCUUUGUUAUAGGGAUUUGUCUCACUGUCACACCUGUGAGAAGGCCAUCAAGGACAGCUGCAGCCUCCAGAAGACCUAACUCUCCACUAAUACUCUCAGCCAAGGACCAUCUUGUUACAGCUGAGUUUCCUCAGGAAGGCUUCACUGAAAGUAUUCUUGCCUGAGCUGACUUGAUGCUUUUGCGCGAGAUUCAAACAACUUCUAGUCAGGACCUCAGGGAGUUACUAUGCAGUGCCCUUCAUUUUGAAGGAAAUGGUACAAUCAAUGAUCUGUACUUCUUUCUUGGGAAAAGAAGAGAUAUUUGCACUAACAAUUAACAUUCAUCGACAAAAGACAGCUUACAGAAAAUGCUCAUGGAGUUAAAAGAAAUCAUAUUUUGUGAUUACACUGGCUGUUGUGGAUGAUUCCAUGAAGUAUUACAAUAUCAGGAAUUUCAGGUGAGCAUUGAAAGAAGGCUUCUAAUUCAACAAUAAUGCAAAAGAACCACCUAAACCACUGAUGUUUGAAGAAGCUACUCUGAUUUCUUCAUAUCCACAGUUAAAAAGAAGAGUCUGAUCUGGAGAAUCUAAGUCCAUGAUACAAUAAACCUUGCCUCAUCACCACACAUUACUUCAUAGAGUAGCCAAGUCAACAUAUAAAUAACAGUAGCUUUCUCACAAAUAGAAACUGCUGCUGGAAACGCAUUUCCUACUUUUAGUUACUCAUCUCUGAUCAGUUGUAUAAGAUUUGCUUUCAAAGGAAAUAUUUGUUCCUAAAUGGCUGUUGGAAUUACAGUUGAUGUGGUUAAUUGUCAGGAAAGCACAGGUGGCAAACGACUCAACAAGCCUCACACACCCUUUGGCGAGACCCAAAGGGAAAAAGAAAGAAAAAGAAAACCGCUGUUACAGUCAAAAUCUGAAAUAUAUUCCACACAGAACACCCUUUUGGUACUUGGAGUGAAAUACUGAAUUUAAAAGAACAAAAUGGUAGAAGUGUGCCUAGAGAUGCAUUUAUACAAAACAACUGAAGUUUACUUCCAUAGUCCUUCGGUCUGAAGGAUAUACUUUUCUGAGCAGAAGCUAGUUUUUGAAGUAACUUCUGUGUUGGUUUUUUUUCCCCCUCCCCAUCUACCCUACAACUGUCUACUGUGUUGUCCAGCUGAGCUACAGAGAGCUGUAAUCAAUACUUCCUACUCGCACAGAAUCAGGGAAAACUUGAAAUAGUCUUGUUUAUAUCUUUGUUCACUAUCAUGGAAGGUAAGUUUUGGAGUUAUGUUUUUACAACUACUCAAUCAAGGAAUAAUUGUAGGCUACAUUAUAAAGCCAUUUCUGUGGCAUUAUUUGCAUCAAACCUACCAAUAUUCUGGGGAAGUAAGACUGCUCAUCUCCAUUUCCUAACUGGAACUACCUUUGCACACCUGGGGCUUUGUCUUGCCAGCCCUACCACAUGCAGAAUGACAUCCACAGCAGUCUUCCCAUCAGUAACAGCGCAUACAUCCAAAUGAGCAAAUUCACACAGAUGCUUAAGUAUUUGCACAACCAAAGAGCUUUUAAAGCUAGUAAUAUUAAAAACUCAAGGGGAAGUUCAAGCACGACAAGACAAAGACACCAGGAAGCAGUGUGCAGCACGACUGUCAGUGAGCAUGGAACUGCUGUGUGAUGUGUCUGCCUCACCACUUGCUGAGUCAGUGCUGCUCACAGAUUUUCAGGGGGAAAUUGAGGCCAAGCUUUGGGCUGGAUUCCAUCUGCUUUGUUUGGACAAGGGCACUUUGAGAAAGAGCUUCCACAGUGCUUCUUGCGCCCUCCCCAUGAACAGGCAACGUCGGAUCCUCCACACUCCCACCAGAGACCUCAGAUCAAGAUUCCAGCCUUAUUCAGAUAGAAAUGCAAAUAGACACUUAACUUCAAGUACACUGGGAGUGUUGAGGAUUUUUUCCAAGUGGCUCAACUUCAAACUUCAGCACAGGCCUUGGGCUGAACCAGAAGCUCUGCAGAAGGAUCACACCUCCACUUCUCUACCUUAAAGAACGAGCUCAGAGAACAGCACUUCCAUCUAUUCUCUCCCCUUCUCUUUUUUGAGCAACAGAAAAAUGUUGAGCUACACACACACAAGAAAGGUCUGUUUUCCCCAAGAGAUUCUUUGAUUAAAGAAAAAAAAAACAACUGUAGAAAUCCCAGUGUAGACUGCAGAAAGUAAAUUAUUACAGCAAAACAAAAAUGAGAAGCUAAGCAGUAGUGACGCGCUCCUAUGGCAAUUCUAGUCCGCACGUUAUGAGCCAGGGCUUUAAAAACCAGCCUGCUUAUAAAUGUUUCCAGUGGUGUUCAUAGCACCUAUUGAAUAACACUGCCUAAUCAACAGGUAGGGGAAAAAAUAAAGACCCACCUGUUAAAGAAUUCAACAGUCAUUAGCUGCUGGGGUAAGAAAUCCCUGUAAGGACACAGAAGAAACAGAACCACCCUUAGAAAAAAACAAAACAAACAAACAAAAAAAACCAGGAACAAUGAAAACCCACUUCUGCAAAUAAUGGAGUUGCAGGAGACAGAAUAAAUCCCCAGCAUAACUUGCAGAACAACAUAUUCCAAGUAUCUACAAUUUAAGCAUUGAACACCUGAACUGCAGGUGCCAGAGGGGCAGACAGGUUUUGUAAUGCAGCUGACUGCAUGCCAGGCUGCUUUGCUGCGAGCAAAGCCCUCUGCUCAGCUCUCUGUCCUACAAGGCUGUGCAAGCUCUGGGAUUCUUUGUUAAGGCCCUUAUGCCUGCAUAGGAAUUGAUCCCAAGAGGCAUGACCGGUACAGGGAAGCACCAAGAUCAGCACAAGACAUGAUUUCGGUUGGUCAAAGAAGCUUUGCUCUUUGUUCUCAAACAGAUCAGGUCUUUUAAUUAAACAAAGGGGAAAAAAAAAA
Gallus gallus (chicken) is the source of this 3874-nucleotide long non-coding RNA. RefSeq lists it as uncharacterized. Lineage: Eukaryota; Metazoa; Chordata; Aves; Galliformes; Phasianidae. The record is from RefSeq and is a predicted model, not a curated record. The transcript has 2 exons.